CAAGGGCAAUUCCUUUCUCGUUGAGUCAGCAUAGUUUUGCCCAUUUAAAGUCGAGUUUCCAUCCCUUCAAGAUGUUUUCUAUCGUAGUUGCACCCAAAAGGCUCUAUGAAAGAAAUGAAGGUUUUUCGCAUACAAGAUAAAAGUGAGAAAUCUUAUCUAUAAAAACAUUGAUUCUGAUCGAAAGGGUUCAGAUUAAAAAAAAAUCCAAAUCAAAAACAAAAAAAAAAGAAAAAAUCAAAGUCAAAAGAAAAAAAAGAGAAAUCAAUUAAA
RNAcentral lists this long non-coding RNA (270 nucleotides) under Gossypium raimondii (Peruvian cotton). RNAcentral describes it as "long non-coding RNA (GRAI_LNC009077)". Lineage: Eukaryota; Viridiplantae; Streptophyta; Magnoliopsida; Malvales; Malvaceae. The record is from RNAcentral.